Molecule: ribosomal RNA, 284 nt
Filed under: uncultured prokaryote
Description: partial 16S ribosomal RNA
Rfam family: Bacterial small subunit ribosomal RNA
Source: RNAcentral
UACGAAGGGUGCAAGCGUUAAUCGGAAUUACUGGGCGUAAAGCGCGCGUAGGUGGUUCGUUAAGUUAGGAGUGAAAGCCCCGGGCUCAACCUGGGAAUUGCUUCUAAAACUGGCGAGCUAGAGUAUGGUAGAGGGUGGUGGAAUUUCCUGUGUAGCGGUGAAAUGCGUAGAUAUAUGGAGGAACACCAGUGGCGAAGGCGGCCUCCUGGACCAUUCCUGACACUCAGACGCGAAAGCUAGGGUAGCAAACGGGAUUAGAUACCCGGGUAGUCCCUGAGCGGGCU